RNAcentral lists this long non-coding RNA (1505 nucleotides) under Marmota monax (woodchuck). The record is from RNAcentral. Lineage: Eukaryota; Metazoa; Chordata; Mammalia; Rodentia; Sciuridae.
AUGCACUGCUCGGCUUCUCCUGUGCGCCUGCGCGCGGGCGGAACGCAGUGGUCUGUGGUGUCGCUGCGACAGAAGGUUGUCGCCGGUGGAUCCCCUUGAGGCGAAACAGCUUUGUCCUGAUUUCUUGGUUUUGUGCGACACUAUAGGCUACAGAAACUAUAGAACUUACGAUUUGCACCCUUUGAGGUGGGGUUGCGGGGAAGGAGUGAAGGGGGUGCAGAGGCUGGGGACUUGUACGGGGCAGAACGCGCAUACGCGGGGCGGAGUCUCGGAGGACGGGGACAGAGUGGGCCCGUGUUGGGGCGGGGAUAGUGGUGCGUGUGCACAGGUGAACGUGGAGAGAGAGUUCCGAUGGUGGGUGCAAUUGAGCCCCCCCCCCCCAGCAGACCUUGCACUAUCCUCUGGACCUGGGGUGGAGCUCGAGGGUGGAGGACGGUGGGUGAGACAGGUCUUGAUGGGAUCCCAAGAUGCUGGAGACCCCAAACUGAGGGGUCCAAAGGCUUCCCUGGCCCGCCUUUCUCGAAUCUCCGUCAGAACCUGAAUCUUCCCUCACAGUUCCCAGAUGGAUGAGUGUUUCUCCCUGUGAGGACCCUGGCAGGGCUUCCCAGUGCCAUCACGAUAAAGCCACCUUCCUCAGACUGUACUGGAGCCCUGCCCACCUCCACCUCAUCAUGCCUUGCUCUCUGUAGGGUCAUUAAAACAAAUGAUGCCUGGUAGAGGGGACAGUGGUCUGGCCCGUCCCUGCCAGGUCUCCGUCAUUCUGUGGCCCUGGGGACUUUGGUCCUUGCAGUGUCAUCUACAUUUCUGAAGGUGGCCUCUGCACUGGCCCUGAGGGAGGAACUUGGGGAUGCAGAAAUGUAAAGUUAUAGUGAGUCUCAAAAGAGAAGCACCCAUGAGCCACUGGCCAAACAAGCCCUCCUGGGCCACCAACUCAGGUCCUCAGCCCCUGCCCUGUCUGCAAAGAUGGACUCGAGGGCAAUGUACAAGGGCCAGAGAAACAGCCCUGCUCUCCUCCUCUAGUGCAGUCCCUAACUACUGUCCCUGUGUAAAUAUGGACACCCCAGACCAAGGUGUUGCUGUUUCCCCCUGGAGAUGGCCCAUGCUCUCCCUUGAACGUGAAUUCUUUUCUUUAUUCCAGAAGCUUCUCACCCUCAAGAUGGCCUGCAUUCUGCCUUGAACGUGUGUCUGCUGUCAUUAAUAAAUCAGUGUCUCUGACUGGUCCUCCACCCAGCAGCUUCAGGACCCGACUCCUUUCCCCAACCUCGAGAGUCGUCCUGGGGGCACUCCUUCCCUUAUCCUUCAAAUGACUAGAGCAUCCAUUGGAAUCAGGGCCUGUGAGAGACCUUAUGCUGUAGGACAUGACUAAGCUGCACUCUGAUUUCAGACCCAGAGAAACCAUGAGAUUUGAAAUAUGUGUAAGAUCCAUUGAGUCUUGUGGCAUUUGUUUUACAGAGUAGAUAAUAAGGUGGUCAUAGUGCGAGCAUUGAUGAUUUUGAGCUUUUUCC